AGAUUGAACGCUGGCGGCAUGCCUAACACAUGCAAGUCGAACGGCAGCGCGGGUAGCAAUACCUGGCGGCGAGUGGCGGACGGGUGAGGAAUACAUAGGAAUCUACCCUGUCGUGGGGGAUAACGUAGGGAAACUUACGCUAAUACCGCAUACGACCGAGAGGUGAAAGCGGCGGACCGCAAGGCGUCGCGCGACUGGAUGAGCCUAUGUCCGAUUAGCUAGUUGGCGGGUAAUGGCCCACCAAGGCGACGAUCCGUAACUGGUCUGAGAGGAUGAUCAGUCACACCGGAACUGAGACGACGGU
This 304-nucleotide ribosomal RNA is filed under the name uncultured soil bacterium. RNAcentral describes it as "bacterial SSU rRNA". It matches the Rfam family "Bacterial small subunit ribosomal RNA", at positions 26 to 330 of the family's 1533-position model. The record is from RNAcentral.